This is a long non-coding RNA of Melospiza melodia melodia, 407 nucleotides long. RefSeq lists it as uncharacterized. The transcript is spliced from 4 exons. NCBI's taxonomy places the organism in Eukaryota, Metazoa, Chordata, Aves, Passeriformes, Passerellidae. The record is from RefSeq and is a predicted model, not a curated record.
UUGAUGUCUAAAUGCUGAGGAAUGUUUUUUGGGCCCAGUCCACUUCAUUCUGUUGUUCGGGAAAUGGCACCCUCCUUCACCCCUGUUAAUGAUUUCACUUGAAGAUAUUUUAUUUAAACUGGACUUCAGAAGAAAUGUAUUGAAGAGGAUGAACAAGGCAGUGGGGUGAAGGCAUUGAAAAAUAAGCAGCCUGUAUGCAUGUACUGCUAUGGAAAUCUUUGCAAAGGGACAUGAUUGAUAUCCUGCAAGAUUAGAAGAACCUGCCUGAGGAGGCUUUUGAAUGUCAUUAACAUUUGCCUGAAAUCUGGAAAGCUUGGAUUUCAGAGGGCCCCAGAAUGUGAGAGGCAGACACCACCUCUGUGGACACCUCUUGGAAGCAACUGUAAUCUUCUAGGAGUUAAAGAAAA